UCCCUGGUAGUAUAUCGGUUAGUACACGCGCCUGUCAUUGUUCAUGUAACGCGCGAAAGCGGGGUUCGACUCCCCGCCAGGGAG
Molecule: non-coding RNA, 84 nt
Organism: Obba rivulosa
Lineage: Eukaryota; Fungi; Basidiomycota; Agaricomycetes; Polyporales; Gelatoporiaceae
Source: the annotation of a GenBank genome assembly